Molecule: ribosomal RNA, 375 nt
Filed under: uncultured organism
Description: partial 16S ribosomal RNA
Rfam family: Bacterial small subunit ribosomal RNA
Source: RNAcentral
GUAGGUGGCAAGCGUUGUCCGGAAUUAUUGGGGCGUAAAGCGCGCACAGGCGGUUCUUUAAGUCUGAUGUGAAAGCCCACGGGCUCAACCGUGGAGGGUCAUUGGAAACUGGAGAACUUGAGUACAGAAGAGGAAAGCGGAAUUCCACGUGUAGCGGUGAAAUGCGUAGAGAUGUGGAGGAACACCAGUGGCGAAGGCGGCUUUCUGGUCUGUAACUGACGCUGAGGCGCGAAAGCGUGGGGAGCAAACAGGAUUAGAUACCCUGGUAGUCCACGCCGUAAACGAUGAGUGCUAAGUGUUAGGGGGUUUCCGCCCCUUAGUGCUGCAGCUAACGCAUUAAGCACUCCGCCUGGGGAGUACGGCCGCAAAGGCUGA